AUUGAACGCUGGCGGCAUGCUUUACACAUGCAAGUCGAACGGGUAGAGGGGGGCAACCCCCUUGAGAGUGGCGAACGGGUGAGUAAUGUAUCGGAACGUGCCCAGUCGUGGGGGAUAACGUAGUGAAAAUUACGCUAAUACCGCAUACGAUCUAUGGAUGAAAGCAGGGGAUCGCAAGACCUUGCGUUAUACGAGCGGCCGAUGUCAGAUUAGCUAGUUGGUGAGGUAAAGGCCCACCAAGGCGACGAUCUGUAGCUGGUCUGAGAGGACGACCAGCCACACUGGGACUGAGACACGGCCCAGACUCCUACGGGAGGCAGCAGUGGGGAAUUUUGGACAAUGGGCGCAAGCCUGAUCCAGCAAUGCCGCGUGCAGGAAGAAGGCC
This 385-nucleotide ribosomal RNA is filed under the name uncultured bacterium. Its description in RNAcentral is "bacterial SSU rRNA". It matches the Rfam family "Bacterial small subunit ribosomal RNA", at positions 30 to 416 of the family's 1533-position model. The record is from RNAcentral.